Molecule: long non-coding RNA, 719 nt
Organism: Chlorocebus sabaeus (green monkey)
Lineage: Eukaryota; Metazoa; Chordata; Mammalia; Primates; Cercopithecidae
Source: RefSeq, a predicted model, not a curated record
CGCUCCCAACACACGCCUGCGCACGAGCCGUCUCCCGCCUCCUUUUCCCGCCGACUGAGGGGGCGGAGACAGGGCCGGGAAGGGGGCAUGCGCAGUGGCAGCGACUAAGGUUUAGUGAGGCGGCGCCGCGCGGCGCGAGGCGGGUCCUCAGGCUCUUGUUUUUCCCGCUCGUUUUCCGGGGAUCCCCCGCGGUGGGACAGUGAGCAGUUCAGGACUGAACUGCCUCAGCCGAGGUCUUCCUCCAGAGACAGCGUUUCACCAGGCUGCUCUCGAACUCCUGACCUCAGGUGCUUCACCCACCUUGGCCUCCCAAAGUGCUGGGAUUACAGGCAUGAGACACCACGCCCUCUGACUUUUUACAUUUUUAGCUGGUUGGGAAAAAAAAAAAAAUACCAAAAGAAGAAUAUCUCUUGAUGUGAAAAUGGUGUGAAAUUUACAUUUCAGUGUCUAUAAAUAAAGUUUCAUUUGAAAACAGCCAUGCUUACUCAUUUAUAUAUUAUCUCUGGCUACUUUUGAGCUAUGACAUUAGAGCUAUUUACAUGGUUAUACUUUUCUGAACAGCCAGUGGGAUGUGGUAAAUAUUUAACAACAGCUUCUCUGGAGGAGAAUGUAUUUGUUAGUAUGUAUUUAUGUGUGUGUAUAUAGUUUAUUGUAAAUUUUACUGAUUUUUCUAUCACUUCCUUAAGACCACAAGACAAUUAAUAAAACAAAUUGAACCC